GACGAACGCUGGCGGCGUGCUUAACACAUGCAAGUCGAACGGAAAGGCCCUGCUUGCAGGGUACUCUAGUGUCGAACGGGUGAGUAACUCGUUGGUGAUCUGCCCUUCACUUCGGGUUAAGCCUGUUAAACUGUGUCUAAUACCUGAUAGGUGCCAUUUUUAGUGUGAUGGUUGGAAAGUUUUUUCGGUGUUGGAUGAGCUCGCGGCCUAUCAGCUUGUUGGUGGGGUAAUGGGCUACCAAGGCGGCGACGGGUAGCCUGCCUGAGAGGGUGGAAGGCCAAAUAGGGAAUGAGAGACGGCACAGACUCGUACGGGAGGCAGCAGUGGGGAAUAAUGCACAAUGGGAGCAAGCCUGAUGCAGCGAAGCCGCGUGGGGGAUGACGGCCUUCGGGUUGAAAACUACUUUCGCUAGGGACGAAGCUUUUUGUGACGGUACCUAGAUAAGAAGCACCGGCUAACUACGUG
This 465-nucleotide ribosomal RNA is filed under the name uncultured bacterium. RNAcentral describes it as "partial 16S ribosomal RNA". It matches the Rfam family "Bacterial small subunit ribosomal RNA", at positions 28 to 507 of the family's 1533-position model. The record is from RNAcentral.